AACGAUGCAUCGAACGGGAAGAGUAGGCCCGGAUGCUGUCUUCAGAGAGGGGGUAAAAGGUGAGAGCCCCCGGCAGCGCCGUCCGAAUGUCGCCCGCGAGCAGCCUCCGUGAAGACAGUAGCGGAGCGCCGGUCCCAGACCGUUAUCGUAUUGAGCGCCGGCCGCUUCCCUUUGCGUGUCGGAACUAAAGGUGGUACCGCGAAAUCAGCCCUUCGUCCUUUAU
Molecule: non-coding RNA, 223 nt
Filed under: Edaphobacillus lindanitolerans
Lineage: Bacteria; Bacillati; Bacillota; Bacilli; Caryophanales; Bacillaceae
Description: T-box sequence
Rfam family: T-box leader
About the family: Uncharged tRNA acts as the effector for transcription antitermination of genes in the T-box leader family. T-boxes are found upstream of many aminoacyl-tRNA synthetase genes and some amino acid biosynthetic genes usually in Gram-positive bacteria.
Source: RNAcentral